GUUUUGCGUACUUUACGUUAGUUAGUUAGUUUUAUACCUACAUAUUUACUUAAUUAAAGUAAUUUUUUUCAGCCCAACAAUAUUUUUUCCUUAAUUUAUAGAGCGGUUAUUUUUUUGCCAGGAAAAAUCUUAGCGUUUUACUUAAAGGACUCGUUAAAAUGCAUAAUAAUCAAAUGCAGAAAUGGCGUGAACUUUUGUCCUAAUUAUACACCUGACUGAGAUUGGGUUGUCGAUAGUUAAACCAAAUUUGCUUAAUCUAAAUGGAAUACACAUAUUCAGCAACUGGUUAUCAACCCAUGGUAAUUUCUCAUGAGCUCACUACACAAGAUCCACCUUUUUUUGGUUUUGCAAGUGACUUUACCUGCUAACAAUAACAUGCUUUUUGUUUAAACAGUGCCAUAUCUAUGCCCACAGCAUCAACUCCCCUUUAACCCUUCGUCAUUUUAAAAAACAACUAUUUGCUCUCCCAUGGAGGCAAAAAUAAACAAUAACCAUAGAUAAAUGUAUGACAGUAGUAUGCAAUAAUCAAAUGUCCUUUUAAUGGCAGACACUGUUGAAUAGAUUUAAAAGUCCUAUCAGUGUUUGAUGUGUUACUUUUGUAAUGUUUUUGAUCACUUAAUUAGUCCCAUGAGGGCAUACAUGUACACAACAAUAUCACUGCUGUGAUCACCAAGAGAGAAACAUCUGGCAACAGAAACUGAGAACCUUCUCCUGCUGGCACUGCAGAUCAUGAUUGUUUUGAACAAAACUGUUGCCUUUUGAAAUCACAUCCAGGAGCUGCCAGUUGCUGAUCACAGGACACAGAUUUGGUUUGGUAACCCAGAUACAAAUGCUUUACCUGAGGCCUAACAAGAUGGCUUGUAUUAUGUAUUUGUGGCAUGUAAUGUGUUUAAAUGGCAUCUUAGGGACACAGCACUUAUGGAAAGUCCAAUAGGAGGACUGACAAAUCCUCCGCGGACCACAGAAAACUGAAGUAGAGGACUCUCAUUGGUGAUGGACUGUGUGUGCUUGCUGGGUAUAUGGGAGUUAUGUUCUAUGUUACGUUGCUUAAACGAUCAUGAUAUGUGUCUCUGACCAUUGUCUAGUAAGCUUUGAAUUUGUACUUCCGGAAUCUGCAGUUUGCAGUGGAUGCUUAUUGGAUACCGCUGUAGCUUCAUUUAAAGAAGUCAUUCCUUCAGCUUUAAGUUCAGUUUCCGGUCUCAAUAUAUCAGAGGACUCCUGUGUAAACUUCAGUCCGUCCCAGAUCGAUCAUCUUGUCGAUACUGCUACAGGCUCUUUAAGAGUGGCGCUGGACGCUAUUGCUCCUCUGGAAAGAAGAAUGGUAACAAGAAGGAAGUUUCCUCCUUGGUAUAACCCUCAAAAACGCAACUUAAAGCAAAACCUAAAAGUUGUGCGGAAACGGUUAUGGCGUUCCACCAAACUAGAAGAAUCUAAGCUAGUUUGGCAAGACAGCCUUAAAACAUUAGAAGGCUCUCCAUAAUGCAAGAGGAGCUUAUUUGUCAAUAUUAGCCAGACUGACAGAGAGCCACAGGUCUGUCUAGCCGUGUAUUCCUUUGGACCUCAGUAGUAACGACUUCAUGAUAUGAUUCUGACUACCAAAGAGAAAAUUGAUGGUCUCCUACCUCUUCUACCUCAACCAGUGCCGACCAGUCCUCGAUUGUAGGAACCUUGGAUGCAGCUGUCAGGUUUCAAAAACAAAAUCAAAAAUCCAAGAGGCAAAAACACAUACGGGGACCAGAAACUCACAAGGUAGAACAUCCAACUUUCAACAAUGACGCAACAAGUGACAGACACAUAUGGCUUAAAUACACUAGGGAGGUGCAGGUGAUUGGACACAGGUGGAAACAAUCAGACAAUCACAGACGAUGACAGGACAAGGCAGGAAGUGAAGUUACCCAGGGAGACAAGAAGCAGAAAACUACAAAAUAAGACAGGAAAUAAAACCACACCGUGACAGAAUUCAUCAGAAACAAUAGUUUGACCACCGGUUCUGUCUUCUCGAAUAUGAAUAUUUUCUGCUUUUUUGUUUGUACUUUACAAUACCAACUGAAAUAUCUUUGGAUUUUGUUUAAAUUUCUCGGACACAUCAAAUAUUUGCGAACAUCCUCAUUUGAUGCGUAAUAAUCAGCUAAUUAGUUGAUGAUUCAAAAAAUGUCAUUCAACUAAUUUAGGUAUAGCAAUGUGAAGACAAUAUCUACAUUAAGUAAUGUUUUCUAACUGAAUACGGAGCCCUCUUCCAAAUCAGGAAUAUUAUAGAUACAGUUAGAACUUCUUCUUGAGGAAAGUAAUAAUGCUAGCACAUUGGAUGGUAGGUAGACAAUAUCUAUAUCCAAUCAUCUCAGCAACUUUCCUAUUCAUAAAUGAUUACCUGUGUGUAUCCUUGGUGGAGGGGUGAAGCAUGCACUGUAAAAUAAGAUCCUAAUUUUACGGAAAAUAAUUUUUACAGUAGUUUUCCUGUGUUUUUGAAUUAUGUACAUUACUCUGUAAACAGUCAAACUGUAGACUUAAGUAUUAUGCUAAUAAAGACAAAUCAUUUUUUUCCCUCAUUUUUUUACGGAAGAAAUACAGUAAUUAUUCUAUUUUACAUUUUUCUUGAAUUACAUUCAAAUCAUGUAAAAUAACAGUCAAAUGACAUAUAUUUGUAUGUGUAUAUGUAUGUAAAUAUGUAUGUAUAUAUGUAUGUGUAUAUAUAUAAUAUAUAUAUAUAUAUAUAUAUAUAUAUAUAUAUAUAAUGUAGCGUUCAGUGAACCGGUAUAUGUAUGUAUGUAUAUAUAUUUUACAGUGUGGGCAAAUUAAGAAUUCUGGACUGUAUCCAAAUCACAAGGCGGUUCCACAAAUUACUUUUCUGUCCCUCACUAGCAUUACAAAUAUGUUGUGGACCCCUGAGCUCUUUGCGUGCCCUUCCGGUUUGAUUGUGUAUAUAUAUUCCUCUUUGUAUUUGUCCUACUGUCCAUCGUUUCAUUGUCGUACUGUCCGUUAUUAUUUAUCCAGCGCCAUGUCAAAUUCCUUGUAUGUCUAUCAUGUUUUUGCAAUAAAUGUUCCUGGUUCCUGAUUCCUGAUAAUUAUGUUGUAUGACCACAUCAUUAUAUUGACCCUUGGAUUUUUAACCUGAAGUGGUCGGCAAUGUUAAUAAUGUCAAAUUUGAAGCUAAAUCUUGACAAAAGAGUCAGACAAGUGCAUGCAAUGCGACCUGUAAUCGAAUUAAGGACCAUUUUUUUCUCCAGAAAUUGGUAAAAGCGAGAACGCAAACGUGAGCACAAAAAGCUAACCCUGAUAUCCAUGAGCACAGAAGUAAGUGGUGGCUGGGAAGCCAUGGCAUUUGAAUGACACAUUAAUGGCCACGGCUCGUUUGUGGCAUGCCAAGAGUCCAGAAGACAGAACCAGUCUGGAACGGAGCGGGCCAAGAGCUUAGUGGGGAGUCCACAAACUGCUCAAAGCUGACAUUUGUGCCUCCAGGAGGUACGCAAACAGGGAUAGACAUACAGUCCGAUCCAACUACCCAUCCCCCAGUGCACACUCCUCCCUCCCCACCCUUCAACCCACCCAGUUGUCUUCAUCUCUCCAUCAAUCUUAUUUAAUUGUUUUUCCAUCGGAGAUGUUGUACAUAGAUAACUCACAGCACAUUAUUCUGAGUACUCCGUUCUCUCUAGGCAGAAGUGGCAUUUUGAGAGCCGGCCCCAUCUUCAGCUGUCUGGGGGACGGUGGGAAAACUGCUGAUGUGCCAUAGAUCGUUUUUUUCUCCAAUAGCACUGGAGUUCAUUUUAAUAUGCUCAGGUUCUUGUUAAAUCACGCAGACUGAUUGUUUUUAUGUACUACCGCACUAACUUCCUUACGAAAAAUUAACAACAGUGUUUCAAUACGGGGAGGGUUGAAAUUUCUGCUUGGAUGUUAAAAAUAACACCUAUGAAAUGUGAUGUCCUGUGAAAAAAACAUUUCAUGUAUAUUGAUGAUGGAAACAUUUAUUAAAACACUUUACCAAUAUCUCCAAGUACGGGAAACAGGAUUGAUGAAAGGGAUUAUGUCUUACUUUGGAGCCUCCAUGUUUCUGUCAUUCAGACCAAAUUCAUAGAAGAUAUAUAAUGAACAAGCAAAAGAAGCUUCAUUACAAUGUCUGCUUCUGCUUGUUGCUGAUUCAGAGUUUGGAUUAAAUCCUAUAUCUUAAUUUAAACAUUUGAUUUGUAAGUGCACAUCUGCUCAGCGGUUUUAGCUGUGGCAUUUUGUUGCUGACAUGGGAAAAUAAAUGGCACUAGUCCACAAAAAUAUGAAAACUUCUGAAAUGCACAUGAUUUAAGAGGCAUUCCUUAUUUAACCUGAUGCUAUCGGGAAAAAAACACUAUAACCGCAAGUACUAACUUAAAAAGACAUUAACCAUGUUUAUAUUCAAAAGUUUGUUUUAAGAAACAAGCUUAUUUUAAGAAACACUAAUGCUAAAAAAUUUGGUAGUGGUUUGGUAGUUAGUCCACAAAACUAAUUUACAAAAAAAGGAACUUAAACAUAGUUUAAUCAGAAGAUGGCCAAUAAAUUGUAUGGAACUUUGUCCACGGGAGGAACUUCUGUUGAAAAGGAGUAAUAACAAAAAAGUUCCAUAAGAAUAUGGGAAUGGAAACACAGGUAGUGGGCUGUCCAAGUUAACGCGUUAUUUGAUGAGAUUAUUGUGGCUGAGCUUAACGAUAAAAUAUUUUAACGCAGUUAGUUCUGGUGUGCGUUGAUGCCUGACCCCUGAAUUUACUUAGCGUAAAUUUAACGUGUUCUGUGAAGCACAGAAAAUAGUCGGGUCCAGCGACGUAAGAUUGGCGAUGGAGGUGGCCUUACCAGGGAUUACCCCGGUUUCUCCAACAGCCUGCAAAUACUCAACAGUCAACACAUUUAUCAGUGAUAUGACAGUAAAUUGCCUUCAGAAAGAGCAGCUAUGAUAUUACUGCAAUCAGGUGUGCUAUAUGAACAACAUUUAGAACAUGACGAAACUAGAAAUGCCAGAGGCUCCUAGGGGGAAAUCAUUCCUGACAAUGUUGUCUGCAUAGUCUGAUAUCAGAGAAAUGACCACGAUCUCUUAUGGUGGGCUGGCACAGAAUGUGUUAAAUACGUCAUGCCAGCCUCAAGGAAGGAAAGCCAGGAAAGUCAAUGACAAUAUUAUUUUUGUGGGUGGACACACAAACUAACAGCAAUCACUUAGAUGGUAGAUGGAUGGGUGUAACACGGGACCAUCAACUAGGUGAUCAGUAUUUAUGCUCUGCGUUGAGCCGAAAGUCAACGCUGACUUUCUUUAAAAUAAAGUUGAAUAGUUUCAUCUUUAUGAAACAGAAUGUUAAACCAUUAAUCUUUUCACUUAUUACAGUUGUGUUUGUCAAGAGGCCUCUACGGAUAAAAAAAUACAUUUUAAAUGAAGUCAUACUUUCACUCAUUUUAAAACUCGUGGUCUCAUAUGGUGGUCGUUUGUCACACACGUAAAGGCCUAAUUGUCAUAAUUCUGUCCCAUUAAUCUCAAACUUAGUGAGACAAACCCUAUACAGCAACAGAGCCGGAAUGAACUCCUUAUUCCACAUCAGCUGCACCCUUUUUCCUAUUAUUUGUAGUCUUGUGCGCUCAUUGUAUUGUGCACUUCCACUUCCUUACUUAUUACUUACUGAAUGAAUAUAGUCUAAAUGUGUACUCGGUAACGGUUCAACAGAGUGAUCAAAAAAACUUUUCUGCCUGGUGCCAACCAGCACUGAUGGCUUUCAGAAGGAUGCCUUCCAAAAAAAUGUUGCAUCUACUUUAAUAAGGACUCUUUGUUUUAUGUUGUUGCUCGCCAUAUGUCAUUGACUUUAAUACCUUUAAAAAUACAAUUGAUAUUUUAAAUUAGUAUUACACUGCUGCAUAUUCAUCAUGCACGCCUUUUGUUUUACCGGUGCCUCCACAUCAAGAGGGAAAGAGAGAAAAGAUGAAAACACCUCUGCCAGCUUUUUUUCUUUCAUUUGGAGUAAGCUGUUGGUGAGUUCUGUUAAUUUCACUCAGAACACUCUGUUGAUGGCUUACUGUGCACAUAAGAAACGUGCAGCGGUAGAAAUAAUUGUUCUUUUCAUGGUAAGAAAGGCCAUAUCAAUUAAGAGUAAAUCGUCUCCUUAGUUAUUACGUUACAGCCCAGUUGUACGCCGUCAAUUGUGUUGCGCCCCCGGCCCCCUUACUUUUUUUUCUUCACUGUCUCUGCACAAACUGUGUUUAAGCCCAGCGACAUUGUAACCAGCAUUUAACGUGAAAAAUACUCACAAUGUGUGCUUAUUUGUGAGUCCUCGUUAUAAUGCGCAUGGAAAAGGAUAUGACUUUAUUUCUUCUCUACUUUAAACAUUUCUUUGUGAAUGACAUGCUUUAAACCACAACGAUUGGUCUGUCUAUUGAGGGUUAACUCUGGCUCUGUUUUUUCAUUUUUUAUCCAAAGCUUAGGGGUAUUUACUGUGGGCCUAUUACUCCUCGUUGCCUGGGGACUCGAUCUUGAAAAGAAACAGUCAUAUAUAUGUAUAGAGAAUAGGAACUUAGAAACCAUGAGGGAAUACAAGCAUGUGUUUGAUAUAUCCACAAGUAGGUUCCUUCAUUGACACAAUAAGAUAAGAUAAGUAUUCUUACUCUACAUUCUUAAACAUUUGCUGUGGAAGCGUCUACGAUGGCAGAUUGUUUUUAUAUUAAUCUUUGCAUUUCACAUCAGCGAUGAAACUGUAAAUUCUGCCUUUUUAUGUCAUAAUGUGUGUGCAUCUGUGCCAUUCCUCUAUUACAUUGUUUGAUGUGCUGCAAUAUGUUUAAUGUAUGUGUCGACUGCAUGAGCCAACAGGCAUCAGCAACCAGGACUAAGCAAUCCACUGUAUAAUUUACUCUGCAUAGACCUAACAUUAAAGUUAAACAAGUAGAAAAGAUACAACUCAUAGGGCAAAUAAGCUCUCGCCUAAUUGUGAGAGCCGGAUCAUAUAUCAGUCAGAGGAGUGAUCUCAGGAGCGGGAUUAUGAUUAUUAUUACCUAUAUUAAUAGAUGAAGAGGAGUGAUAGUGUUUCAAUGCCUGUAAUGGCAUUUGACCCCACUUGUGUUUUCCUGUAAGGAGCGAGAUCACGAUGAGUGGUUGGAUGGCCGAGAGUGGGAGGAGGAGGAUCCGAGAGGUAAUUAGAGGGCAGAUAAAGGGAGUGGUUCCACAAUGAGUAUGUAAUAUUCACAAACAUUUCUGCAACAAUGAGGAUUAGAUUUUUCUGAAUAGUUUCUGGGCUGUGGGGUGGAAGGAUUUUGUUGCUUCACCUAAGAUUACACUUUUUUACUAUCACAUCCUCAUUUGUGCAAAUGAAGGUUAAUGUUUAAAAUUUCUAAAUAAUAAUAUGGUGCUCCAGCGUUAUUUGUCUUAUAUAUGACAAGGGGCUAAUCUUAACUGGUGAUACAGUAUAGAAAAAGUUGUUUUGUUCUUUCAGUUCUUUACUACAAUAUUAUUAUCAUUUUUAUUUUAAGGUUAUGUACAAAAACUAUUUAUUUCUAAAAUGAAACAAUAAUACUAUUUACAGAUACUAUCUGAUACACAACCCCUCCUGGCUUCUCUGACCUCGAGAAGCACAUCAUAUUAGUUAAUAAAAAAUGAGGACAAGUAUUAAUUAAACAUUAAACAUUUUAUGUCCAGGGAGAAAGGUCAAGGAUUAAAGCUGAACACGACCUGUAUUACGCCAUCUCUGUUCAGCUAUGCUGUGAGCAUGAGAUCGACCGUUGCCAAGUCUGGCCUCAUGCUUUCUGUCGUAACGCCAGCCGCCGCCUCCCCUGGUAGGCCCGGAGAUGAUGCAUCUUCUUUGAUACAUUCUUAAGCACACAUCAGACGCGGUCAAAUAGUAAUCCGCCGAUGCUCGCCGGCCAAACAACAUCUGCCUCAAGACGUGAACUAACAUUCCCUGUUUUUCUCUUUUGGCAGAGGAAACAUGCCCCUCACAACUUCUGAACAUCCACCCACGCGUCACCGCUUGUGCGGUUAUUUACCAAUUCAAAAGAAUUCAAAUACUCCGAAUAAAAUGUAGCAAACAAAGGAGCAACCACAAGCAUGAAAACACAUCAGAUUUAUUCUGCCUGCCUUGUUUACCGGUUCACGGAACGCUGCAUGCAAACAGAAUGCAAAUGCAUUUGAUUGAAUCAGGUGAUGCCGAGGUAAUUGUAUUUGGAGAAAUGUCCAAGAUUUUUUUUUCAUCAUUAUCAGUGGGGGGGUUUCUUUAUGAAAUCCAUCUUAAACAAAAGCUAUCAUCGCUCCCGAGCCUUGUGAUCUUCCUUUGUCACAUGCGGAUGUGGAUGCGUCUUUAAUUUCCUUUCAAUUAAAAGUAAAUAUACGCCUUUAUUUUUUUCCCCCCACUGAGAAAUCCAAACAAGAGGAGUCAACACGAGCAGACAGGUGAGGAAUAUUCAUUUAUAUCUGCCUGGUGUUUUCUUCUUUUUUUUCUUCUCCUCAUUGUUGAUGCUGAUGAUGUGAUUCAACAGGCAACACUGCGGCUGCAUGCCCACACCCACGAGUUUGUAUCCCCCUAAAAAUUAAUAAAUAAAAAUAAAUAAAUAAAACGUUCCCUGUCGGCUUGUCUUGUUCAGAGCUGGAUGGGAAAGACAAACAAACACCAAACAAGUGCAGCACAACACUAACUUAACUUCAUCAUUAAAUGGCUGUUAAUCCAUGUCUCCAGUAGAUAGGCUCGCUUUGAUCAGAGCAAAAUUGUCAGCGAAACACAGCUUUUUUUGUGUUUUUUUUCUGGUCGUGUAGUUGGCUUGUCACUGUGGAUACUAAUGCAGUGACAGCGGUAUUGCUCAUUGACAGCCGCUGCUGUGAAUUUAUUUGAAUCCAUGUUACCUUCCAUCAGCCCAGUGUGUCGGAUGAUUUAUAGCCGAUAACCGGCAGGUGUUGUGUAUAAACUGGCUUUGUAGAAGUAGUAAAAGUACAAACCGCAACUAGCAGUGUUAUUACUAGUGCUGAGCUACAAAACCGUAAUAUAUUACUCUAAUAUUCAAUAUUUGUAUUUUUACGCCUCCAUGUCCGAUCACCCUAGAAAAUGAUGUAUCUUGUUUUCUGUUUUUACUGUUGUAUUUUCUAUUAACGUGACAAACUGACUAACAAAUCACACACGACUCAUUUCCAGCAGUUCUAAUAAACUCACUGUACUCUGUCUGCUGUGUAUUACUGAGCAUAAAGACGCAGUUAGCUGGUUAAGAUAGUGGAGCGUUUAGCAGACAGAUAUUUCCCUCCAAAAGACCAAAACAGAGCUAAAAACAGAAUUAAUGUUGAAUUUGGAUUAAUCAGUUAAUCAUAAAUGCAACUUGCAAUGUCAGAGCUUUGCUGGCAAAAAAUGAGUCUUGUUUGAAGACAUCUUGUUGAGGCUUUGCGGAGUAAUGGGUAAUGUGACUAAUUACUUAUUUGUGAACUAAUAUAAUGCAUUGGCACCUGAAGACAACUGUCUUGUUAACUUAAAAAGGUGCAGUGAAUAAGCUCUUCCUCAAAUCAGCUUGACUAAAGCCUAGUUUAUGCUUCUGCGUUUUCAGAGCUACGCAGACGCAAGAGCCCCUUGCGUGUCCCUUGCGUCGCUUUUCACACCUCCUUGUGUGAUUGCGUGCGUCGACCCAUUUUUCUAGGCUUGCAUCGAAAGCGUUGAAAGCGACGCAAGCUUCCCGCAGCGCACAAGGCUGCGAUUGGUCUGCUAACUACAUGCUUUACUUCUCACAUUUCCGUUUUCAUAGCCCGAUACCGCCAUUAUUAAAGCGAAGAAUGUUUACGAGAGAACGGAUCAGAUUUAAGAACUUAAUCGAAAGAAAUGCGUAAAUAUGACCGCUUAUACAAGCCGUCAUUGGCGGGUUGUAUAAGCGGGUUGGAUUCAUGGAGGGAGAUCGCCGCAAACGCCGGUUUGCCGGUCGAGAAGUGCCCAAAGUUGUGGAGGAAAAUACGGGACAAAUGUGUCCGCGAUGAAAAGCAGCAGUGGCGAUGCACGGGGCAAUAAAGUCUAUGAUAAAUAAAUAAACAAACCAACAACUUUCACACACAAAGAUGUUUUUUUCAUCAAAAACACGUUACUCCACCGAUUGUUCUGCCGGUGAAUUGCUCUGCAACACACGAAAGCCUUUUAGAACCAUGAAUUGAAACGAGUGCGUCGAAGCAACGACGCAAACGCCAGCCUUAACGUCAACUGUUAAUAAAUGGGUAAAAUAAAAUAAAACCCAUGCACACUCAUGAGAGACUUACUCAUUUAUAGGAGGCUACAUUCAAUUAGCUAGUAGUUAGUUAGCAUCAGUACAUUUCUCAGCUUGACAAAAUUCUGCAAAGGGGCCAUCCUAUUUGACCAGCAUAACAUUUUAGAAUAUCAGGCCAUUGCUUUCCAUCUUGCCUUGAAUGAGAAACUAUAAAACCAUUUUCUUUUUAAAAUGUAUAAGACGAGCCAUUAGGGCCUUAUCUUUCCUGUCCCAGAUGAAGCUAGCAAGUGACAGACAGACCAGGAGCUGAACACCCACACUUUCUAAUGCCACAGCCUGUAGCUUUACUGUUCUGUACUGUACCUUUUAAUCUAACUACAACCAAUGCAAUAUAUUUCCAGUCAAAACUACCAUCGUUCCUGCUGCCAUUGCUGUAUUUGGUGUUGCAAGCCUUUAUAAUUUACCUUAUAAUUUAGUCUUUAUAAAGUGCAACCACAAAUAAACUGUUGAAGAGUUGAAAACAACAACACUGUAUUCAAUUUUCUCAUUUUACAUCAGGAAGGACACAGUAUUACUUAAGGUAAACCAGAGUCAAGGACUUGAUUGAAUUUCCUUGAUGUCAUUACGAGGUCACGUUUCAGUGUGUAAUAUGAUAUAAAUUUAGUUACCCCCCGCCCCUCCGCUUGUCCUUGCCCUGAUCGUGGGACUCUUGUUUGUGCUUUUAAGCAAACUUCUUUCCCUGUGCCCGAUGUGACAUGAUGGAUGGUCCCAUCAUUUGCAAAUGUUUUAUUGCAUCUCUCAUUAGCCAAAGGUGGCGCAGGCAUACUGUAACAAUGUGUAUGUACGUGAACACAGAUGUAUAAAAACACACACACAUAUCAGCUCUUCUUCUCUAUGGUAUGCUGCCAUUUAUGCAGAUAAAAGCUCCAAGCUGUACCUUAAAUCAAUACAGUGUGCUAUAUCGGGUGUUAUCUCAGCUUGGGUUUGAAACCUACAAAUUUCAACCAGAAUGACUUAUAAACUGGUGGUGUGGCACACUCCGGUUGAAGAGUAUGAUCGAGAUGUAGCUGGGGGUGGGGUAGGGGUGGAGGGGGAUAUUAAAAGAGGAUAUUAAAUUGUAGUCUGGACGGUAAAGGCCCCAGGGUAUUUGGAACUUGACCCAUCCUAGGGAUUAAAGAUUGUAUAUCUCUGCUUUUCGGUCUUUUGAAAGCAACGUUAAAUUGUUUGAACACCUCUUUAAGAAUUCUUUUUCUUAUCUUUCAUUACUGCUUUUUGUUCAGGUACCCUCUGAUAGUCCAUAACCCCAUAAAACCACCCAUAUCAAGCAUUAAAUAACUGUCCUGUCCUGUGAGAUUGUUGCAUAUAGGUGUCACUUGAAGGGUGCAGGCCCAAAGAUAUUGUCUCACACACAAUUAUUACUGUGAGCUGUAUUCAUUAAUACAAUAUUCCUGAACAUGACAAACACCCCAAAGGUACACUUUGUUUUAUUACCAUUUGAGUCAUUAGGUUCAAUGAAAAUUAACAAGACAAUGUCCACAGUCGUGCUUAGUGAGACCGUUCUAAGGCUCAGCGGGGCUUUGAGCUUAAUUCCUAUGUCAGCGUGCUAAAAUGCUUCAUGCUGAUGUUAAGCAGGUAAUGUUAACCGCCAUCGCUAUCGUAGCUCGUUGAAAUGUACCAAUGUGGCAGUGAACAUAAAGAGGCUGCGGAAUAUGUCCUAACGAACAAACUAACCGAACAAAGUACAAUGGAAGCAUUGGUGAAACAGUUGUGGCAUGGAGGUGAACCUAGCUCAGCAAGAAAAGCAUCGAGAGUUGAUUGAGGAAGAGCGUCAACAGACGGCUCUCCUGCAAGCUAAACUCAGCCAGCCCAGGGAGGUGGACCUGCCGGCCUACCUGUCUCACCUCCCCAACCUAUUUUUUUUAUUUUAAAACUGACUGAAACAUAUGAUAUUGAGGCUUACCUCAAGCCGUUGAGAGGACAGCAACUCAACAGGCCCCAGGAGCAAUGGGCCAGCCUCCUAGCACCAUUUCUGUCAGAGUCAGCCCAGAAGACCUAUCACGACCUGACGACGGAACAGGCAAAGAAUUAUGUGUCAUUCGUGAACGAUUCGUUCAUUUUGAAUGAAUCCUUACAAGGAGUAGUGAGUCCUCUCAAAGAGAGAUUUGCAUUGGAACUAUUGCAUACAAUUUUUUUGUCUUUUAGUCGAGGUAGAGUCUGAAGAGGUGUGUCUUUAAUUUGCGGCGGAAGAUGUGAAGGCUCUCUGCGGUCCUGGUGUCAUCAGAGAGCCCACCAUUUCGAGCACAGCAAAGAGUCAUGAUCUCGUUGAGUGUUUUGCUCUCAGCGAGGGAGGGACAAGCAGUUUGGCAGAUGCAGAGCGGAGAGUGCGGGUCGGGAUGUAGGGUUUGACCAUGUCCUGGAUGUAAGCUGGACCCGAUCCAUUCUCAGCAUGGUACAUGAGCACCAAUGUUUUGAACUGGAUGCGGGCAGCCACCGGUAGCCAGUGAAGAGGGCGGCGGAGUGGAGUAGUGUGGGAGAAUUUCAGGAAAGUUAAAGACCAGUCGAGCUGCUGCAUUCUGGAUGAGCUGCAGAGGUCGAAUGGCGGUAGAAGGGAGACCUGCCAGGAGGGAGUUGCAGUAGUCCAGGCGGGAGAUGACAAGAGCCUGAAUCAGUACCUGGGCUGCCUUCUGAGUGAGAAGGGGACGUAUUCUCCUGAUAUUGUAGAGCGUGUAUCUACAGGAUCGUUUUGUCGCAGUGAUGUUGGGAGUCAGGGAGAGUUGGCUGUCGAGUGAGACGCCGAGGUUCCUAGCGGUCAAAGUGGGCGUUAGCACGGAGUUGACGUCAGGUCCUGGGUUGGAGAAUCUUUUCCCGGAAAGAGAAAAAAUUCAGUCUUGUCGGGGUUGAUUUUCAGAUGGUGGGCGGACAUCCACUGAGAGAUGUCAGUCAGACAGGCAGAGAUCCGUGCCGCCACCUGGGUGUCCGAGUGAGGGAAGGGUGUCAUCGGCAUAGCUGUGGUAGGAGAAGCCAUGCGAGCGAAUGACAGCGCUGAGAGAGUUGGUGUAGAGCGAGAAGAGGAGGGGACCCCAGACGGAACCCUUAGGAACUCCAGUAGUAAGAGGACAAGGUUCUGACACAGAUCCUCGCCAGGUUACCCGGUAGGUGCGGCCGUUGAGGUAGGACGAGAGAAGGGAGAGAGCAGAGCCUGAGACACCAAGUUCCUGAAGGGAGGAAAUAAGGAUCUGGUGGUUGACUGUGUCAAAUGCAGCAGAGAGGUCCAGAAGGAUGAGGACAGAGGAGAGACAGGCGGCUCUAGCAGUGUGGAGUUGCUCUGAGACAGCAAGGAGAGCAGUUUUGGACAAAAAGGGAAGAAGAGAGACCGGUCUGUAGUUGUUUUCUUCAGAAGGGUUGAGGGUAGGUUUCUUCGGGAGAGGGUUAAGUCUUGCCUCCUUUAGAGAAUUGGGAAAACAGCCAGAUAACAGAGCAUUGUUGAUGAGACAGGUCAGGACAAGGAGGAAGGUCAGGUGCGAUAGAUUGUAGAAGAUAUGAUGGAAUGGGAUCAAGUGGGCAGGUGGUCGGACGGGCAGAGGUUACUAGGGUAAGAAUUUGGUUAAGAAACAGGGCGGUGAAAGAGGAAAGUGAGGGCGAUAGAGGUGAAGUCAGUGGGACGCAAGAAGUAGGAGGUGGGUUUGAGAAAGAGGAGCGUAUGUCAUCUAUUUUCUUGGUAAAGUAUUUGACAAAGUCACCCGGAGGAAGGGUGGAGGGGGGAGGAGGGCUAGGGGUUGGAGGAGGUUUUCCAUGACGCCACCCUCUUUUCUCCGUCCAUGUCUGUCUUGCUCUCUUUUGGGCUGCUGUAGUCGCCCAAGGUGUGAAAUGGAGUAAUAGAUGGGUAUCAAUAUCUCCCUUGCCCCUGUUGUUUUGACCCUGUACCAAUUUUUGAAAAACAGAUUUUGCCGUCCUGGAUCUUUUUCAGGGAAGCUUCAUGCAAAAUGAAUAGGGGUGGCACGUUUUAUUGAAGUUUGAUUUACAAAGUGAGGGUGUAAAAAUGGAGGACAGAAACUGGAGGCAAAGGCAGGAGAGAAGAAGGAUGUCAUGAAUUAUUUUCCUCAUAUCCAGGCCCGCCAAUGUACGUUGUUUUUGUAAAUAAUGCAUCACCCCUGCGCAUAAUUAGGACAACAGCACUAUUCUUUCUCCUCACCCUCGCUUCCAGAUAACUACGUAGCGGUAUUUUGAUUCCUCCUUCUCUCUAAUGGACGUAGAGGCAACUUGAUUGAUCUUUGAAAGAAAAAAAGUACGUUGAAUGGCCUUUAAGCGCUGCUUCGGUUCUUCUUCUUUUUUACAUUCAUGUUCAGUUCCAAAUGAUAUAGGUUAUCACGUGAAUGCUCAUUAUCAUUUAGACACCAAAUAAGGGAACGUAAUGUGUCCUAGAACACAGGAGGCGCCCCAGUAAUGUUUAUUUGCCUGUGAUGUACAUGUACAUUGGCUUCUCAGAUUCAUUACAGCUCAAAAACGCCUCCAUUGCUGAUUCUAACGCAAUGUGACAAAAUGCAAAGCCUGUUAAAAGAAAAGGCGGAGGGGAAGAAAAGAGACUCGAAAAAAGAGGGGGUUAUUAUUUAAUAUAUUAGUGUGUGUGUGUGUGUGUGUGUGUGUGUGUGUGUGUGUAUCUUCGUCUUUCUUCGGCAGGAGAUAACACCUUUUGGAGGAACUGCCUUGAAGCAUUAUCCCCCAGACAGGAAACAUGGCUAAUCUUCGGCUUUGAGCCAUUACGCUACAUUUAUCUGUGACCCCCUCUCUCUUUAUAUCAUUACAGUUAAAGUCCAUAAAAGUGUGUUUAGACAAAGAUGAAGGCAUUACCUGCUCAGAAACCCCAAGUGCUAUUAGAGGCUUAGGCCCCUGCCUAUGUGCACUGGAUAUUAAAUAUCCUUUAUCUUAAACGCUCUCUCUCUCUCUCUCUCACUGCUCUCUGGGUAAGCUGAUAGCUCACUCGGCCCUGCCUUAUAUUGCCAUAGGCGUAAUAAAUACACAGAUAUCAAUGGGCCAAGUUUGUCCCGGUCUCAAACGAUUAUGUGAGGCAUGCCUCCCCGUAGCGGGAGUAGCAGGAGAGCUUUUAUUUAUUUCUGUGGGAUGGUAACGACAGAUAUAGUUACAAAGUCAGACAAAGUGGAGGAGCAGAGAUGGUUGUCUGCUGAACUGAGAGGACAGUCCAAACCACCCAGGGCACAAACACAUAAACACACAGGCACAAACAAGCCGGCAGCUGUCUCACUUUCGCACAUGCGAACAGAUUACGUGUCAUGAAAAUACUAUGCUAUUAUGGACUAAUAUUUCAAGAUAACCAAUACUUAAGAUAGGUAUGCCCAAUCAUCACGAUCAUCAUUAGACAGUGUCUCAGAGAGGGACCAAAAGGUACAGAGGACAAAGAGUCGACUUGAUUGUCUUAAGGACAUUUGUAACAUACACCAAAUCUUGGUCUUGUCAUCUUCUUUGAAAAGGGACACUCUCUGCAGAGCACAGGAACGUGAGAGCUGAGUCUUUACCCUGUGAAAUUAUUCUCAACCCUAGUUAUCAGAUUAAAAUUUUGUAUUGUUAUUUUAUCAUAUUGUUAUCUGCCGAUAUUCAACCGAUCAUCUAUGCCAUUUUUAAACAUGUUGUUCUUGUCUCUGAUUGCGUAUAAUGUUGUAAAAAACAAUCCUUUAAAUUGGCCAAAGGAGAACAAAUGUUCAACAGUGUGCAACAAAAUAGAGAUAAUAAAGAUGAUUAUUUACAAAACCUCUUAGGAGCUCAUAUCAUAAAAGACACUGAUGACAAUAUUAGUUUUUUUCAAUAAAAGUGCUCUUUUAUUUCCUUAUAUGAAUUGUGUGUUUUAUAAUAAAAAAAUACAGAAAUGCUGACAUAAACAAAGUGAAAGGAUAACGUUUCCAAAUGUAUUAUAUUAUAAUUUUCUUUUCUUGCCACGGUUGCCUCCUACUGGCUAAUUGGUUCUGAGUUCUUAGAGACCCUCACCUGGCCAAACGCUGCAUAAAAGUUGGCUUUGCUUUCCAACUCCUUGGUUGAAACGGGGGUUGCAGAUGAAACAUAAUGAGGCAUUCAAUGUAGGUAACUCUUUAAAGAACAAAUUCAAUUGUCGUACAAAGGAAAUUUAAUCAGAUAAAAUUGAGUGGUAUUGCGCCACAUAACGAAACCUAUCUUUAGAUCAUUAUGUAAAUUUGGUUUUAGGGUGGAUGUUCAUCAAGCAAUAACACUCAAGCCAUUGUCUUUCUUUCUUUCUAAUGAGGCUAACAAAGCAGACCCACUUUACUUUCUUUUUUUUUUCUUCUUCAUGCUCACGUCUGCAGCAACGCCCCCUCCCCUUCCUAUGCACUGAGUCACUUUCACAACUUUCAUUACUUCUCUGAGGGCAGCCUGAGCUAGCUGGCAGGGGAGAUGGGUGUAUAUCUCCUAGCUAUAACCCGUAGUCCCCAGAGGGUGGAGGUCAAUGAGAUUAACCUAUAGCUCCUUUUUCCGCCCUUCAUUACACACUCCAAAUUACACCCACUUACAGACGAGGAAAAGGAAGACGGAAUCAUAUAUGGGCUGAUAUCUAUUUAAAAUCUAAUCCCUUUGGGUGAAUUGCUCAGCCUUUCCAUUUCUCUUAUGUUCCUGCCUAUUGCCCCCAGGCUCCAUUGUGCCGUGGUGCGCUGCUGUGCCGUUCAGGAAGGUGCUAUAACCUCGCCCUUGUUCGUAUUAACUUUAGUUUCAUCUGCACUAACAGAGGAGACACUUAAGAUUAUAACUCCCUCUUUUCUGUUGUUAUUCCUCCGUUAAACAUUAUUGACUAAUGGCCUAUUGCUCUGUUGCCACAAAGCUAAGAGCUUGGUUAUUUAGAGUAGAUUCUUUCGGUUGUACCUUGCUGUACAUCAUCUGCUUCUAAAAGAGAGAUGUUCAGGAUUUUCUUUUCUUGUAAAUCAAUUCACCAUGCCAUGUUUCUUAACCAAAAUAGUUAUAAAUUUAUGGACUGAAACAGAAAUAAUGUGGAUUUAUGACGGCUUGUGUUUUCUUUCCUACAAAAGAGGUUUGAUUACGGAGAACACAGCAUUCGUUCCUAAAUAGGCAACCGCACAGAGAUUUUAUUACUGCAACCUAGUAUACCGUGCAGUACCUCCAAAUCUCACUGCCUUGCACCACACUAUUUGUUCUUCUGUUAAACUCCAGCAUGAUGCUUUAAAGGUCCCAUGGAUCAGAUUUCAUGUUUUUUUAGUUUUUGGCUCAGCGUAAGAAUAAUGUUCUUUGUGAUGUUUCACAAAUACAUAUACAUUGGUCAGAAAAUAAGGUAAACACAUGCGCUAUAAACAAUGUCUGGCAAACAGGGCUUUGAUAUGCACAUUUUUGUGUUUGUGUGACGACUAACAAAAGCUUGGACCAAAUCAUCUGUUCCCAAACUACAGGUGCACCGGUCAACCAAACUGCAAGUAUGUCAUAUGUCAUGAGCAGCGGUCUGGAAAAUGACAGCGUAUACAAAACACAGGAAAACUGCUUAGAUAAAGAGGAAGUUGAAAGGAACCAACAUGGGUAUGACAGAUGUACAGUAUAUAUAUACAGGGGAUGGGGAACUGACUGCUAGUUGGUGCGCAGACUUCCACAAUCCACAACGAUGAUUCACUUACUUCAAAGAGCUUACGUGUUUACAUUAAUUUGUACACCCCCUGUUGUUUAGUUAAAAGGCUAUUCAUCAAGUUAUUUCAGAGAAUUCGCAGACAGAACAACUGCAAUGCUGCCCCCCGAUUGGCUGAAGUCACCAGCUCGUCUGAUUAAAAGGAAGCAAACCUGCUGACUGCAAGAUUUACAGAUCAAAUGCUACAAUGUAUCUUGAUUCUGUGUGGGGGGGGGGGGGGGCAAUCAGAAGCCCCCACUGUGAUGAGUUUACCUUGAAACUGAAAAACUCAAGGGGCCUUGAAAAUGCACAGGCAGUUUGAAAUAGGAUUUAUUAAAAAACAAUACGUUUUGGAGUAAAAUAUAUUAGUUAUUAAGAUCAAACGACAAUGUAUAGAGAAAGGUGCCGGUCUUAGUGAUGAGCAGACAUAUCUGACUGCUCUACAGAUGGUUUUAGUGUCUUUUAACGUAUCGUUUCAGUUUUCCUGCUUCGUUGCCACACCUCUACCAGGUGCUACGCCAGUUACUUAAAACAUGAAACAGGAAAUGUUCGCAAAUAGUUACAAACUAAUACGCCAGACAUUUCCCCCGGGAAUUGGUGGAGACCAAAUGAAAUGUAAAUGGUGUAGGAGCCAAAUUUGUAGUGUGUUGUUUGUUGCAUUUGCAUGUUCGGUUAAUUAGAAGCGUGUGCGUAAUUUCACUGUUUGCUUGCGUAUUGAAAUACAUGCGGGUUGCAGACUGACGUCACACAGUUGUACGUUGUCCGGACAGUUUUUGGACCGGGUUAAUUUGAUAAUGUUAUGAAAAAUAUUAUUCCGUGGAAUGCCGAUACUCAUAGGAAGAAAGGAAACUGUAAUUCAAGAACUUUGGAUGAAUAAAAGACAUGCUUGCUUCACUAACGGAACAGAGUCAGAGUCGGGAGCUAUUUGUAUACGAACAGAAACACGCCUCAACUUAAUGUUUACGCUCUGCUUUCACUACUUUCGGAACCUAACGUUACAAAGGGUAUAGUUGAUAUAAAUUGCAUUCAUUAUGUAAACUUAAAUAUGACUCCAAAUGAAUGUAUAUGUUGCUCUGUUUUUAUAUAUUUAUAUUAGGACACACACAAUGUAGCUAUAACAUACAUGGCAUGGCAUGUCAUCCUAAUAUAAUAAUGACCCUGAUGGGCCGCCUAAGGCUUCUCUGCCUGUCUAAACAGAAUCACAAAGUUUAGCUAUUUUAUCAUUUACUUUUUCUUUACAAAUAUAUUACAUGUAUAAUAGGCAUAAGCAAUAAGCAUUUUCUCAUUGCACAUCUCUUGUCCUCGUCUGUUGGUCUGCUUCCAGUGCAGCUUGUUUUAAAGAGAGCUUUUAUCCAAUCAGAUUCAGCCCCUGUGUUUACAUGUAAGAAAAGCGAGAGGUCCUCUAGUGCAGUGUUCCCCAGCCAGUACCGGUCCGUGGGCAAUUUUGUACCGGGCUGCACAGAAAGAAUAAGCGUGAGCGUGCUCCCACCAAGAUCGCUGCUCUAAGGAGACUUACACAUUAAAGUAUACAGGGACAAUAUUGUUGAUUGUCAUAGUCUUCAACCAAUCAGAUCUUUAGUUUGACAUGUUGGGCCUAUUUUUUGAUGUGCCGAUAAUACAGAUGUAGCCUCAUCACGUGCGCUCUCAUUGGUCGGUGGGCCAGCGUGACUUCUGUCAAACAGAAAGCCACCUAGCAGAUCUUCGUAUUUGCAGUAGCGUAUUUAUUGGACUAUUGUGUUGUUUUUAUUAUAUAGUUGAUAUUGUUCGCUCUGAUCUAAAUAAUAUUUGAAUGGCCUGUGCUCUUUGAACUUUCAGAAGUUCUGAUCAAGUUAAAGGCACUCAUCAUGAACGAUCAUAAUAAUGCCACAUACCACUGGAAAGCUUAGAGUCUGGGCUAAAAAUACAAAAAAGUUUGAACAUGCCCCAGACACAAUUCAAUCACAAUUUAUAAAAUAUCAAAUGCAAAUUUUGGAGACUGGAAAACCCAUCAAUUGAAGCUUGAAGUUAACAAAGGAACCGAGACACCGAACAGCAAGAGUAUUCCACUCUGAUUACAGCGAUAUUUAUAACAUUUCUCUCAGACAAACCUUCAAUCAGAAAUGCUCCUUACCUUUACCGUUUUUAACAAAAAAAUGUCGGGGGUUUUCAAAUACUAAACGCUAAGCGGAUUUCUGUGUCUCUUCAUAAGCAAAGAACUUUGGCACUUGGCGUCAGAGCAGAGCAUCAUCCCUCACUCUACACAUUGCUGAUACUUUUACAUCUAAGCACACUCGAAGGUAUUUUUUACUAUGAGACCUCAAAUUGUCCAGACAAAUCCUAUAGUUGCAGAGCUAUGGCCGUUUUAGUGUGUAAAUACAAUUUUGAGCAGAGACCGAGAAAAAAAACCCUUGGCCCUGAAGAGUAGCUUUAAAUGGUAUGUCAAUAAGCAUUUCCGGCCAUAAAUGUGUAUGAACAACAGACAAUUUGGAUGGGUACUAUACAAGCUUGCCUGUGCCUAAAUCUAGUAGUUUAUAUAAUGUUAGGCCCUUAUAUAUUCUGAUUGUUUAGGGACCGUAUCAAGUUUUCACACUCAGCAGCUUGUCCUCCUUGCCCCCCCCCCCCCCCUCCCCUUCGGGCUCCAUGCUGUUUGGGGCCACUCGCCUUCAAGCUGCAUCCACUUGUAGUGUAUAAUAGACAGAGGCUUCCACCAACAGCGUGCACAUUAAUCAUCAUUAGACGUACAGUUCAGAGAUCGCCCCAAAUCGGAAGCCACCGUAAAACAAUAGGAAACCGUGUUCAGUAUUAUCUUAAAAUUAGCGAAGAUGAGCAAAUUUGUUUGUCGGUGGGCACCUCCGAGGUCUACUAACCGGGGGAUGGUUUGACUGAUAGAGCGUCAUUUUGGUGGGUGUGACGGAGUAGGCAGCAACCAGGGCCCAUGUAACUUCCUGGUUAUGAAUAGCCGCUGUGGAAAGGUCAACGUCAUGACAACCCUGUGAUGGAUGUCACCGACGUCCAAUUAAAUCCUUCUAAAAAAAGACGCCUCUAGUGUGUGCUUAUUAAAUAUAAAACAGCUACAUCAAGAGUCUGAGGGCCCGCUUUCUCUGUGCUUAAUGCCGACUAGGACAACCAAGAGCAUUUUUUAGUCCUCAAUUAUUCAUGUUUUUGAUGAGGGGGGUCAAUAAGGGAAAGAGCACUCAGUAUGAAUGUUUGGAGCUAUGCGCAAAGGUCACAACACAAAAACAGACACACAAAUACACAUCUUUUCAGACGUUUCUAACUCUUUUCUCUCUGGAUAAACAGAGCAGAGCAAAGAACAGCACUCCCGUGCUUUGAGGAAUGCAAAUAUUUGUCGCCAGGUUGUUGAAGCUUUCCUUUUUUUCUGUUUUGUACGCGUCUCUUUUUCUCACCCCCCCCCUAACUAAACGCACACACAGGCUGCUUUGAGGAAACUGGGACAGACAGGCAACCCAUGAAUAAGAGGAUGCACGUUUUUUAUUUGUGUAUUAUGUGGCCCUUUGAAAACCUCCAGCACAUCCACGUGUGCACGCACAAGUGCACGUAGACACACAUGGGCCAGUGCUCAAAUUCAGCCACCCAGCCUCAGUUUCCUUCCUCGAGUUCAGCAGUAAAAGUCCUCUCACUUUUAAGUCUACCUUUGGUUGAACUUAUGCUUUUCUUUUUUUUCCCCAUGUCUUGUGUAUCCACUCUGAAAUUAUAGAUGGGGAUAAUAAUAAUAAUGUCAUUUUGUACCGGAAUCUUAGUCAUUACCUGCAGUAAAGUGCUUCUAAUUGAUACCACCAGAGAGAUAAUGAUUACAAUGCCCUCCAGGAACAUAUUAUUGCAAUAUUAACCUUUGUAUAUACUUUUAUGCAGAAGACUCUGGCACAUUAAAGGAUCUCUAAAUCUUACUUGUGCGGUGUAAUGCCAUUACAAAAGAAUGGAUACUCGGAGGUGUGCCCUUUUCCUGAUUAAGUGUGUCCAGGGGUUUGCAGCCAUCUCCAGGAAAUGGAUGACAUGGAGGUGCAAUUCUCUGUGUCUCUCUCUUCUCUUACUGUCUAAAGCUUUCUUUCCUAUCCAUGCUACCCUUCAUGGCCGUGCACUACAGAUAACCUUUCUUUGUUCCUGCGCAUGCGGGCAAAAACGUUUAAGUGUUUUUUAUCUGUUUCGUAUGAAAAAGUGGCUGCAGUCUGUGAUAUCAAUCUUUGUAUCAGUGUGCUCGUUUAUGUGCGCAUCCCCAACAUUUGACCGACACACUGCACAGCUGCUGUGCCACACUCAGUUGGGCACCACACACCCACCACCCCCUCAAAAACAGCAUCCAAACCAGAGGCUAUAUUUGGACACAAUGCCUUCACCAGGAUAAUUAGCCAACAAGCCAUGAUCUCUAAACAUGAACCACACUGCAACAACAUUCAACUCUUAUUAAUGCCGCACCAUGAGGCACUGCAUGUAUGUGAAAUACAGCAAGUGUAUCUUCUGUGUAAUUUCUUAGUAUGCUCUGAUAUCUUAGAAAAUCAAAAAGGGCAACAACAGCAGCAGCGAGCUCAUUUGAAGUGUAAAAAAAGAAAAGAAAGAGGGACCUUUGCUUAAGACAUCUCGUUGCAGCAGGGACCACAGUGCUACUGACAGAGGGCAAAUGAAAAUAAAUUAAUUCACUGAGCACUGUUGUGUGUCUGUGAGUGUGUGUGUGUGUGUGUGUGUGUGUGCGGUUGUGUGUUUGUGAAUCUGCGUGUCUAACCCGUGACACAGUUUAAAACGGCUUCUUAAGACCUGGUGACACAAGACAGGAAAUCGGGAUCUCUGAAUACUCUGGAAGCCUCUUGGCUUGGCCUCGCACAUGCCAGGCCCUUAAAGCCCUGCCCGCCCUCCUUGCAGUGGAAGGCGUCAGCCUCUAGUGGGCACUGUACCGAGUACAGGUCUAACCUUGGUAGGUUUACAGUGAUGUAGUCCUGUUGGAGGAGUCACCUUAGAUAUAUGUUGUGUCUUUCAAAUAUGAAACCAUGAUAUUGUCAAGUGGUAAAUAACCCCCUGGAUGGUCCACUAUAUUUAAGAAAAUCCAUUUUCCAAUUCAAAACUUUGAGAAAACCAUAGUAUUCAUAACUUGAAAAGUGACUAAAUUGCUGUGUUUGGAUAAUGUGACUGAAAAUGCCUGUUGUCCAGCUAUUGAAGUAACAAAAUGUACUUUUACUCUUGUUACUGUAACAAGGUCUAUUUUUCGGAUCCUUUUUUUAGUAAUUUUUUUAUCAUAUAAUUUUCAUUGUCCCAUCCUUUCUGGUGCUGUCAAAUCUUUGACAGUGUAAAAUUAAACUAAGGAUGGUAUAAAAUUCACAGGGAGCUCCAUACUAUUAAAUGUUCUGGUUAACGUUAGCAUUCAUGUAUCUCUGCAAAUGUUUGGAAAGGAAAUUAAUUGCUCAUUCAAUGCACCACCAGACUAGCACGUCGAGUAACCCAAAUCUACCGUUGCAGGGCGCUCUUUGAGAUCAAAAUGUUUGAAAACAGUGUUUUCGUGUGGUAGCACGAUUAUUUAAUGGAUUGGUAAUAUUUUUCAAAGAGAAUGUGCCAUGGAGCAGAUUUUGCAGGACUCUGCAGUGCACAAGGCAAAAUAUGCAGGUUUAGACAGGUGAGAGCAACAACCUACUCACUGAUGGAUGUGCUCUCUGAAGUGAACAGGUACUGUGUGCCCUACGGUGUUGAAAAACUGCGCAACAUGUGUCUUCGGGCUACAACCAUCUAGUCUUUUGUAAUGUCCGUACCUCACUGUGUGAUUUGCCUUGGGUUUUUAUUCAACCAUUGAAUCUGCAAGAAGUGACUAACUAAUUGAUACUGUGUUUUAUUAUGGUUUUUCUGUCUCACUGUUCUCUUUCUCUGGUUAAAUAGACUAUAAUGAGGAGGUUAUUCUGUAUUUAUAAUAUAUAUAAACUUUUGUAUAAACUGGCACUCUCUGUCCGCUGGUGAGAGCGUGCUCACCGGUGUCUGUGCGCACGUGUCUGUGUGUGGCUUUGGGUGAGCGGGGAACCAAUCAUCGGUUCCUAUAUUGUUUACAGAAUCUCUUUCACGUUUAUUUGUAGAAUGUAAAAUAAAAUGCUUUUGCCAAAAUAUCCCCAUUUUAACUUUGUCUCUGUUGCGUUUCCCAAACGGCAUUUGCAUUUUUAGAUCUCUUCAAGAAUUGAAUACAUCAUGUACCCUUUUGCCUCACUCUAAAAAUUGAAAUGUAGCGCAAUAACUUUUGCUCAGUACAUUUUAACUGAGCUUUAACUACUUUUUACUUUUACCUACCUAGUACAAGAGUGCUUUUUCCAUUGCUCGAGUAAAACAACUUCAAUCACCAUGAAAUAUUGUAGCACUCUUUACUUCCCUGCUGUUAGAACAUUUCUUCCAUUGCCUCAUCAUGUCCAAUUAAAGAUUGUUAAAUAAUCAGUUUUAGUGAGACACAACCUUGAAACAGGUUAUGGAUCCCUGACCUGCUGCGGGUCCAGUCGUGGUCUCGGGGCAUUCGCCUGAAGAUCUUGACUAUGUACACAACACACUGACUUUUGACCCAUUGCUCCCUUUUUAGCAUCAGAAUACUGAGCCACUGUGCCAAGCCAGUGACAUGGUUGAGGGUACAACAGCGGUAUUUAUUGUGUCGGUGGUAGUGCCAGUUGCAUUUGUCCUGCAGUGUUCGCGCUGUGCCAUACGUCCUCACCAGCUUCUGUUUCUUAUUUCCAAGGCUAGAAGAUGGCCUGGAAAGAUGGAUAGUUGGCCAGGAUUUUUUGGGGGGUUUAGUAUUCAUAGUUGUAACACAAGGCCCACUUGUCCUUGACUGCUUGUUACAAAUAACCCACAUAAUUCCCUCAGGCUCAGAGAUAAUUCACUGAUAAUUUAAGGCACUUGUACUGUGUAGCAUUUCUCUCCUAACACACAAGGAAAUCAGUGCAUUCCUCAGUUGUUCUCGCAUUGUUUCCUUGCUGCUCCUGAGCUGACACUAACCUGUAAAGCAUAUUUUUUCUUCUGGGUAACGAGAGACUGUAGCGUAAGUGUAGACAGGGGUUAGCGUGACUGAGCCCUUUUGUGGCAUGGCAGCACCUUGCACUUUAUCCGCCGCUUAGCUUCCCUUUCUCACUGGAGAGGUGCAUUAUCGGCUGAUUUAAGGAAGUGCUGCUGAAUCAGGUCAAGGAGGUGCUGGCAAUUGUUGGUGAGGUAAAAAAAGGGCCUGUAGUGCCAAUGCUCACUGGCAAGGUCUAAAAAAAAGAAAAGAAAAAAGAUUAAAUUUAGUCUGACACUGAAACCGUUUAAUACCAAUAAUUAGACCAUGUAUGAAUGUAGCAAUGAACAUUCUUACUUAAUGCAAUUUCACAGGACCUAUUCUAUGGUGCAUUUUUUUACUGGGCCACUAUAAAAACAUAGAUAUUAAUGAUAGUCUUCCCACCAGGGAGUCAAUGUAAUCCUACAGAGCAUUAGAGAAAAGGAAACAAGAAGGAGGAACGGACAGGAAAGGAAUUGGAGAGGCAAAGGAAAGGAAAGGAGGAGAGAGUAGGCGAUCAUGGGCAAACACAAGGGGAGAGGAGUAAUCACGUGUGUCCGGCGGAGGUCACCACUGGUCUGCAGGUUCUAAUUAUGUGCUAAUAGCCACUGAGGAGGUCAUUUGGAGCCAUUAGCCAGUGCCUGUAGAUAGUUAACGGCCCAGAGCAUAACCCAGCCUCCUUAAUGUUCCCCGCGAGGCCGUUAGCACUCCGUCACCAGCCAGCUAGCUGCCUCGUUACUGCGAUUAGAAACCUAUUGAUAGGUAAUAGUAAAAUAUGAUAGCACACUAUCCGAAAAAUAUGGACUCUGGUGGAAAGGUGAGAGGACAGGAGACAGUAAGAGCACCUGCCCGAGGGGGGAAAGGUAGACUGAGGGGAACAACUGACUGAUUAACCAAACAAUAAAAGUUUAGCUUAAUCUGGAAGUGAUUAGAACGUUCCAACGCUUUCCCAUGGGUUUGUUCAAUGCAGUGGGGGGUGAGUCCUUAAGGAGAUGAAAUAUGACUUCAUACCAUUGGGGGCUAGGGUUAAGGGGUUUGGGUGCUGUCCUGAUAGCUAAAUAACUAGACAGUGACUUUUCAAAAUAAGGCCUACAAUUUACGCUCGUUAGAUGCAUACAAUAACUUUUCAAAAUAAACUUCCACCCUAGUCUUACUUAGUUACAAAGUUUACAUGUGCAACAAAACAACUUUUAUUUUGUGUUAACUUUGGCGGCCCUUGAGGACAAAGCGGGAGUGUGUCCGAGCACCAGAUUCCCCUUCGCAAACCUAAAACUUUAGUGUAUGAGGGUCCCCGUUGCUCCGGUUUGCCCUUGCCUCCAGUCCGUCCGACGGGCUGACGAUAUGUACCCGGGUCUCCAGCAGCCCUAACUACACCCACUUUUGAGACAAGAAGUGUAAACCAUUUUAAACCAUUGAUGGAGCUUGUGAUGCUUCAUCUUUUGUUGCAGAGCGUCUUUGGCAGAGUUCAACCUGGAGUUAGCAAAUAGUGAAUGUCACACGGAAAGGGCAGGUCUGUCGAUAUCAGAUGCUGGAACCAAACGUCAGCAUUUGAUGAGGUAGGUGUGAAUGGGAGUUGCUGAGCUGAAAAUAAGAUUUCCCCUCAAAACAUGUAUACCCUGCAUUUUCUGAUAAAUGCAAAAGGAUGUUUAACAGCACCAUGAUUGCAUAACUAUCUAAAGAAACACAUGCAUGAGAUGAAGACAACGUUUCUUUGCUCUUAGUCACAGAUUGAAAAAGAAAUUAAAUCAGAACCAAAACAAGGGACAGACAUACCAUGCAGAUCGUUGUUCUUAAUCAAUUAGAGUCAGAUGUUUUCACUUAGACAUAUUUCUGCUCUGGGCAGCCGUUGAUUCAUAUGAUUUAAAUUAAAGACCUGCUGGUUUAUAAGUCAAAUGCAGUAUACUUCCUGCUCUCCCACAUCCAUCAGUCCCAGACCAGUCUGAACUUGAGCAUACACUCUGUCCAGGCAAAUAAAGAGAAAUACAGUGCUUCCUGAAGAAUCACAGAUUUGUCUGUGAUGAAAUCUCCAGGCCGGGCUGUAAAUAUUUGCCUGUGCUGUAUUUGUGUGAGCGUUUCAUUAACGAUCCGAGCUGACAAACAUGCACACCCAUUGACCCCAGUCAUCGAGGGAGGGCCCGAGACAGUAGUGUGUAUUUGUUGAAAACGUAAACGCCUCACAUGAGGGAUUGAUGUCACCGACGGAGGAGACGAGUGCAGUGGAAAUUAAUCUGGUGUGCUAAAUGUUUUCCAUAGCCAAAAGCUCCUGGCUCUUAUUUGAGGGCCCUGUCACGACUUGAAAGUGUAAUUGAUACAAAUUCUAAAGUUUAAUUUUUAAAGUUUACAGUCACAGAGGGUUCAGCGCUCCGGAUUGUUUAAAAUUGCGCUCGCUUCCAUUCGGUUAAAGCAGGAUAGUCUGAAAAAAAAUGUGUUCAUCAAAGGGUUGCUACAAAUUAGACUUUGAGAAACUCAAUUUGAAGGGAAAAGAAAAGCAUUUAUUUCUUUUCCUCUGGGGGGGAAGCCAGAGUCCCUGCUGUGUUUGCAUUUAAAUAUAAACCAGGCAUAAUAUCUGACUUUAAUGGCACAUGCAGUCAUACAGGGCACAAACACAGAGGCACGCGCUGCACAUGCCAUAUGCAUAUACACCACCCCCACUCCCACCCCAACUUCAUAAUUUAGUAGUUCCAUCUAAACUGGCACAGACAACAGCGUGAAACAGCUCUUAGAUUGUUGUGUCUACUCUCUAAUAGUUGAAAUUAGCAAUAAGGCCUCUGGAGAUGUCGGAGCACAGGCGGGCAUGUUGUAAAUCUGGGUCCAAUAAGGGGCCGAGGGGGUGGUGGUGGGAGGGGGUGGGGCAGAAAGUCAGAGGGAGAUGGCCAAAGCAGUGGAAUAACAUCUUAAUCCAUCUGAGAAGUGAACAGUGGCCGGUCUGUUUUUUUGGAGCACGCUGUCUUGGAUGACUCCCAAGCAGAGGGGCAGGGAGCAGAGCCAUCUUCAGCUGCUAGUCACUAACAUGGCAGUAAUAAGGCAGUGAUGACCCUCCCAGGACUGGCGGCCAACACUCCCCCUCCCUACCAUCCCUUCAGCACCCCCACCCACCCACACACACACACAGGGCCGUGCUCUUGAACAGAUAUGCAGUCCAGCACCGGAUAUCUCUUGAUAUAUCAUCAUCACUGCCCGUGCAUUCAUUCCAUGAAACGCUUAAGCACCCAUGUAAAAAUGUAAAUGGCACAGACCAAAAUUUAACCACUAAAGCUACAUGAAAAUGUGUGACAUUAAUUUACUCACUGAAGGAUAAUCAAUGAGAGCAAAGAACUUGACUGAAACAGCCCUCAGGGCUCACAGAAACCAAUGCCAUCCCACGUUGCACUGUCAGACCUUUUUCCUGUCCGCUUUUACGGUGUCAUCCGAAUCAUCAAUGUGCUGUCACGCCGAGAGGACUGAAGGAUAUGGGCUGGGAAGUUUUCGGGCACAUGUCUGAAAACUCUCAACACAUAAAUAUUGUUCAUUCGUAUGAAACUGUUUCGGUAAUUUUAAUGCCCAGAGGUGGGUUCAGCCCCUUGUUAGUGAUCAUUAGAAAAGGACCACGGUUUUAUCUUUUUUUUAAAUCAUUAUCUUCACAGAAUGCAUUCAUAGUUGCUUUUAUCACCCUUAAAGAUCCUCGUGUAGUUUCAGACUCUGCACACAAUUAAUUCAAGCCACUGAAAUCCCUGUCAGCCGCCACAAUGUGGCUGGCAAACACUUUUGCGUGGCUACUUACACAUAUAUGGUGGCGUGCUGAGGGUACCAACCCUCGCUGCUAUGCAUUGUUAGAAAUUUGCAUGCUUAAGUCCAUAUGGCAACUUCCUUUUGACCUGCUUUCCCAUCCCGGAUGCAUUGUCAGGGCUGUCAGCCGAUAAAGAAUCACUUGACUUGCUAUAACAAGUUCAAAAGGAGCUGAUGACGCGCUGUUGAUCCAUGGAGAAUCGGCAAAAGGAACACCCCUACUGCUCACUGCUAUCACUCCCAUAGAGAUAGCCAUAUUAUUGAUGGGGGAACAGUUAUGCUAAUUCCUUUAGGGAAGGAAACUCCUUUUUUGUAUUUUGGAAAAUGCUCAAAAAAUAAAGAGAAGGAAAAGAAAAAGAAAAAAAGUGAAUUUCAUACGCAUCAAGCUUAAUUCCAUACAACCAUUUAAAGGAGCAGCAUGAGAAUCAGAUUUUCAUAGCGCAUAAUGAAUGCAGUUUAUUUUAAAGAGGAAGAUGUGUUU
Molecule: long non-coding RNA, 29001 nt
Organism: Gasterosteus aculeatus aculeatus (three-spined stickleback)
Lineage: Eukaryota; Metazoa; Chordata; Actinopteri; Perciformes; Gasterosteidae
Source: Ensembl